This 861-nucleotide ribosomal RNA is filed under the name uncultured archaeon. RNAcentral's name for it is "bacterial SSU rRNA". It matches the Rfam family "Archaeal small subunit ribosomal RNA", at positions 66 to 910 of the family's 1478-position model. The record is from RNAcentral.
UAUGUGGAGAGUGCGGCAGACGGCUCAAUAACAUGUAGCUAACCUGCCCUUAGGAUGGGGAUAACCCCUGGGAAACUGGGGCUAAUACCCAAUAGAUGGUAGAAUCUGGAAUGUUCAUCCGUUGAAAGGAUUUUAGAAACAUGCUUCUAAUGUUGCCUAAGGAUGGAGCUGCAGCCGAUCAGGUUGUUGGUAGGGUAACGGCCUACCAAGCCUAUAACCGGUACGGGCCCUGAGAGGGGGAGCCCGGAGAUGGGAACUGAGACAAGGUCCCAGGUCCUACGGGGCGCAGCAGGCGCGAAACCUCCACAAUGCACAAACGUGUGAUGGGGUUAUCCCGAGUGCCGUCCGUUGAGGAUGGCUUUUCCCCAGUGUAAGGAGCUGGGGGAAUAAAGGGGGGGCAAGACUGGUGUCAGCCGCCGCGGUAAUACCAGCCCCCUGAGUGGUAAGGACGAUUAUUUGGCCUAAAGCGUCCGUAGCCUGCUCAAUAAGUCUUUCGUCAAAUCUAACGAUUCAAUCGUUAGCUCGCGGGAGAUACUGUUGGGCUAGAGGACGGGAGAGGUCGACGGUAGUCCUGGGGUAGGGGUGAAAUCCAAUAAUCCCAGGAGGACCACCAAUGGCGAAGGCAGUCGACUAGAACGUGCCUGACGGUGAUGGACGAAAGCUGGGGGAGCGAACCGGAUUAGACACCCGGGUAGUCCCAGCUGUAAACGAUGCGGGCUAGGUGUUGGGGUAGCCAAGAGCUGCUCCAGUGCCGCAGAGAAGUCGUUAAGCCCGCCGCCUGGGAAGUACGAUCGCAAGAUUGAAACUUAAAGGAAUUGGCGGGGGAGCACCACAAGGGGUGAAGGCUGCGGUUCAAUUGGA